AGUGAACGCUGGCGGUAUGCCUAACACAUGCAAGUCGAACGGCAGCACAGUAAGAGCUUGCUCUUACGGGUGGCGAGUGGCGUACGGGUGAGGAAUACAUCGGAAUCUACUUUUUCUUGGGUGAUAACGUAGGGAAACUUACGCUAAUACCGCAUACGACCUACGGGUUAAAGCAGGGGUUCUUCGCACCUUUCGCGAUUGUAUUAGCCGAUGUCGGAUUAGCUAGUUGGCGUGGUAAAGGCCCACCAAGGCGACGAUCCGUAGCUGGUCUGAGAGGAUGAUCAGCCACACUGGAACUGAGACACGGUCCAGACUCCUACGGGAGGCAGCAGUGGGGAAUAUUGGACAAUGGGCGAAAGCCUGAUGGAGCAAUACCGCGUGGGUGAAGAAGGCCUUCGGGUUGUAAAGCCCUUUUGUUGGGAAAGAAAAGCAGCAGGUUAAUACCCCGCUGUUCUGACGGUACCCAAAGAAUAAGCACCGGCUAACUUCGUG
RNAcentral lists this ribosomal RNA (492 nucleotides) under uncultured bacterium. RNAcentral describes it as "partial 16S ribosomal RNA". It matches the Rfam family "Bacterial small subunit ribosomal RNA", at positions 29 to 507 of the family's 1533-position model. The record is from RNAcentral.